Molecule: transfer RNA, 92 nt
Filed under: Laccaria bicolor S238N-H82
Lineage: Eukaryota; Fungi; Basidiomycota; Agaricomycetes; Agaricales; Hydnangiaceae
Rfam family: tRNA
About the family: Transfer RNA (tRNA) molecules are approximately 80 nucleotides in length. Their secondary structure includes four short double-helical elements and three loops (D, anti-codon, and T loops). Further hydrogen bonds mediate the characteristic L-shaped molecular structure. tRNAs have two regions of fundamental functional importance: the anti-codon, which is responsible for specific mRNA codon recognition, and the 3' end, to which the tRNAs corresponding amino acid is attached (by aminoacyl-tRNA synthetases). tRNAs cope with the degeneracy of the genetic code in two manners: having more than one tRNA (with a specific anti-codon) for a particular amino acid; and 'wobble' base-pairing, i.e. permitting non-standard base-pairing at the 3rd anti-codon position.
Source: Rfam by way of RNAcentral
GCCUGCCUAGCUCAAUCGGAUAGAGCGUCAGACUCUUAUUUGUGCUUAAAUUGUUAAUCUGAAGGCUGCGAGUUCGACCCUCGCGGUGGGCU